Molecule: long non-coding RNA, 720 nt
Organism: Tachysurus vachellii
Lineage: Eukaryota; Metazoa; Chordata; Actinopteri; Siluriformes; Bagridae
Exons: 2
Source: RefSeq, a predicted model, not a curated record
UAUGAAGAAGAUAGGGUAGAAUUAAAGGCAUGCAUGGAUGAACAAAGCAUGACACUUGAGCAUUUACUGUGUAUACUGGGUUAAGUGAAAGAAUUUAAGUUUUUUUUUGUUUGUUUGUUUGUUUUCCUCUUCCUUUGAUGUCGUUCUAAUGCCCACACUCCAGUCUAGUAGGUGGCAGUAAUGCAUCUUUUAGAUGAGUUGCCCACCAGCAUUAAACUCGAAAGAAGAAGAAGAAGAAGAAGAAGCGGAGGAAGAAGAGAAAGAAGACCCUCUCUGUUUAUAAUCCAUGUGAUGUUCUGUUCUUAUCAGGACCGUGUUACAGCAAGAUCAAUGUGACAACUCAUACAGAUAGCUGGAGACACUUUAGGUGCAGUAAUGAAAUGGGACAAAGACACAGCAUAAAUGGCUGCCCACUGCUCCGGGUGUGUGUUCACUGGUGUGUGUGCACUUUGGAUGGGUUAAAUGCAGAGAACAAAUUCUGAGUAUGGGUCACCAUACUUAGCCGUAUGUCACAUCACUUUCACUUUCAGUGGAGGAGACAAUCAUUCAACAUGCUUCAGCUCUCCUUAAUCAUGCAGCAGUAAGAAAGGGAGGGAUUGAUGUUUAUUUAUUAUACACUGCAGUGUGAGUUAAUUUUCACUGUUUACAUCAAUUUUGGACACACACAGUGUCUAACUACAAAUAGAAAUUACAUUGAAAUAAAAGUGAGUUUUAACUGAA